Molecule: long non-coding RNA, 5832 nt
Organism: Limulus polyphemus (Atlantic horseshoe crab)
Lineage: Eukaryota; Metazoa; Arthropoda; Merostomata; Xiphosura; Limulidae
Exons: 3
Source: RefSeq, a predicted model, not a curated record
AUAGGGGUUGGCUCCCUAAAAGACACCAAUUGUAUAGUGUAAAAAGCAUUGAGUAUAAAGUUAUUACUUUUUCAUCCUCAACUUAAGCUUUUGAAAGGAACAGAUUUCUGUAAGAAAUUUAAUGUCAAGGGGUAAUGAUAACAUCAUUUACACUAGAAUUAUUAUUAUUUUUUAGUUUAUGCUAAGCAUUACAAUGCUUAGUGGUAGCCUGUUCCCAAAUGCUCUUAAAAUGCUUUUCUGUUGUAUCAAAGUCUUUGCAAAAACUUACACACAUUUUUUGGCUAGCGUGGGAAAAGAAAAAAAAAAGAUGAACAAUGCGGCUCUUUAACUAGUUCCUAGUUCUUCACUAUAACACUUUUCAAUGAUAUUGGGUGUUUUAUAAGCUGUAAAACAGUCCAUAAUGGCAAUUAAGUGCUCAAAUAAGGCUAUAACUCAACGUUAGCAGUUAUUUGUAAGCAUCAUAGAGUAAUAGACUGAAUGCGGCAGCCAUUUUUUUCUCGGUCCAUCUCUGCGUACUAAGCACUACCAUGCUUAGCGAUAACUUACUAUCUAAUACUUAUUACUAGUACAAACCGUAGCAAUAGGGCCAACUAAAAGUUAAAUCAGGAAAUCACUGCCUAAUGAGAAUUUCAUUCUAUUUGACACUGUACAAUCUCAAUCAUUGGGUCUAAAAUAAAAUUCCCCAUAACUAUUGCAUCAGCAUUCUCAUUAGUAAUAUAACCCUGAUCUCAUUAUACAAUUUCAUAUUAAUCUUAUUUCACUCAUCAGUUAGCCUAGAGGUUAUUACAAUUAUGAAUUAAAAACUUCCUACACUUGAAAUCCUCAAUAGUGAUAAUAAUGUAUGUAGACUUGAACUUGUGAUUGCCCUUCAUAAUGUCUUUAGUCCUAACAGGCUCAAGUUCAUUCCGUAUAUAAAACACCACAAUACACCCCUUUUAGAAAGUAUCACUAUUGUAUAACUUAUAGUUAUAAGAUGGAAAUUUAAAUUAAUUCCUGUUACUGCUGUUCCUCAAAUAUAACCAAGUUUCCAUAAUUCCCAUUAGGUCAUGGUUUUCCAUUUCAGCUAAAGUUUAGGACUUUUUUAUUUUGUUCCAAAUAUGCAUAAUAUUUGAGUAAUAACAACUAUGCUUAUUCUUUAAUUUACAUUGUUUAUCUUUAAGUCUUGCACUUACCUUUAAAGCUAUUAUUCAAAUUGUUAUGCUCUAAAUCUCCUAUUUCUAAUCUCCUCAUUACCUCAGUUAUCUUUUCAGUUUCUUUAUUCCUGAUUUCCUAAGCUUCGUCAUCACCAAUGUAAGCUUAUUUAAACUGUGUUUAAUUAGUAUCUCUAUAGUUUUCUCAAAACUUCUACUACUAUACCUGCUUAAGCUUACCUAUGGCAUAUAAUUCAUUCUUGCCCUGAAAAUUAUCUUACAAGUCUAACCAGCUCACUUGUUGUUCUAACUUCUAAGUAUAUCCCUGAUAAUCUUUCUUUUAAGCUAUGGAUCCUGCUAAAUAAUUCAUUUUCACAUAUAGAGCCUGAAGAUGUUUUGAAAGGCAGACAAAUAGCAUAAAAAAUUAACUCAUAUUGAAAGAUUAACAGGUCUCACCAAGACUUGUAAAAUAUUAAAGUCUGAAUUACCAAAUACAAAAUUGAAUCUAGGAUCAAGAAUAAUAUUUAUAAGUAUGUUUAAUUUUGUUAAUUUUACAAAUGUAUAAAACAUUCUCUAAUUGGCAUACUCUUAUUUACUGUAUAUUUGAUGAAUAUAUUUCUAUUUUAUACCUGUACAAAAUAUAGAGAGACCUGAAUAAUAAGUUAAACACAACAUACGUUUUAGUUAAAUUCCUUUUGAUGCAGUGUAUUUCUGUGUUUCUCUAGAACAACUCAAGUUUAAGAAGCAUGCUUAAUUUACAGUGCUGUAUCUGUAUUUACUUUUAAUUUUUUUUAACAUCAUCAAAUGUUACAAAAUGAAAUGAUAUUUCCUUUUGCUUAUCUACAAGUGACCUAGAACUUGCAUGUAGUAAUUACUGAUUUGGUUCAAGACAAUCCUUCUAUCAUCAUUAAAAGAUAAAUAAAGAAAUAACUGUCUUCUAGUUUAAUUUCUCAUGUCCUUCCUGCGUAAAUACACUUCAUCUCAACAAUCCCAUCAAGGUCUUUUAUAGUAUCUGGAAGUGUACGAAGAAAGGGCAUUUCUAUGCAUAAAAAGAUUCCUGGUUUGUGCACGUCAUGAACAAGAAGUAACAGAUAGCAAAGACAUUUUUGCCUGUAAAUACUCAUCAUCAGGUGGAUUCUGACAACAGAUGAUUGCAGAGCAUCUCCCUUUAGUUUAGAUGGAGUUUUCAUGGUUCAUCUUUCUAAUUCUUUCUAGGAUAUAUCACAGAGUGGAAUAUCAAGAGAGUUGAUAUCGGUAUCCUAUUUUGGAGUUCCCAACACCAUCGUUACUUUGCUUGGGACCUCUCAUCUACUAGCAUCCUUGCUCCCUCCACACUUGCCAAUUGGAUCCUCCAACUCAUCUGGAUCUUUAACCUUUCCUUGGGUGUGGUUAGUCGUCCACCAUUUUGUGUCUCCUACUACCAGAUUCAUCUUCUGACACAGUCUCUGGCAGCUUCCCAUUGACAGCUUGAGGAGAUUCUCCACACCAGCAUGUGGACUACCCACAAUCAUUUGCCUCACUAUUUACACCAUCUGGUUGUCUCGUCUCCAGUAGCAUACAGUUUUUCCAUCAAUGCCUAUUCUUUAAUUGACACUGUGCCUGUAACAGGUGAGAGUAUUCUUUUAAUUAUUCCUUCCUCACCUUCAUUCUAUUAUCAGAUCCCAUGAGGUUGCUAGUGUUGCAUCCCAGCCCAGGGUAUACUUAUGCAAAAUCUGUAUCGAACCAGGAUAAUAGAAAGUGCUAAUACCAUCCACUUUGACUCAGUCAGUGCCUACUGUGAGAUUGGUUUGUUCCAUAAGACCACUGGAGUAUUACUUGUGAUAAUACUAUAUAACAUUCAAUAGUCUGAUCCAGACUGUACCCAUUUCAUGAACUAUCGUGGAAAAAGCCAGUGCCAGAGCUGUGCAUCUACCCACUUCAUAUGAUUAUGUUCUGAGUGAAACUCAUAAACUGAAAAAUUAUUAUGCUUAUAACGUGAUUGCUGGGGUAAUUUUUAUUAAUCAUGUUGGUUAGAAAUAUUGCUAUUAGUAUUUAGAACUAUAUGAUGGUUUUGAUUGGUGUUACAAAUAAAAUAAAUAAUUGCAAACACUGCAUUCAAAAUGCUGUUCGCUAUCAUUUGGAACAUACUAUUUAUAAGCAACAGUGUCAAUAGCUAGAGGUGGGGAGGUCAAAUAAUCAUCGCAAUAUUCUAAAAAGUAAAAGCUCCACUUCCUAAGAUGUUCACAACUUAACAGCUUAUUACUGUGAGGUAAGCUAAGCUCCUUUUUGUUUUUGCUCUCUUAAGAUUUGAAUAAUUUUGUUUUACAAGUGUCAUUUAGGAUAAGGUAAAUCACUUGAAUUCUUUGUAUAGCAGGAAAAGUCCACAUUUCUAAAGAAAAAGACUCCCACUACAAAAAUAUAUAUACACACACACACAUCAUAGUGCUGGCUACAUCCCUGACCAGUUGCCACAAAAAUACUAUUAUAAGUUCAUGUGUUUCAAUAAGGAUUGAGCAACAGGUAGGUAAGACACUAACAAACCACCUAUAAUUAUGUGGUUGUUAGAAAGAAAUUGUAUUGCUGGCAAACUUGUGGUACUUGUGGCUUCUGUAUUGUUAGAAACUUGGUUAUAAAGUUACAUUUGUGAAUGUUGGAGAAUCAUAUACAUACCAGAAUAUCUGAACACAUCAAAGCUAAUCCCAAUGCUACUUACAAAAGAACAAAACCUAUUUUUUAAACAGUAUGUUAGUAAAAAUACUAAAAACUAAUUUCAUUUUUAGAAAAAGUGAAAUACACUGAAGCAAUAUUACUGUAUUAAAUUCUGAUAUUUGUAAUAAAGAUCAAAUUAGACUGCAUAAUUAUUACAUUUGUUUCACAGUCUUCUUAAGUUUGUCCAUUACGAAUUUAAAAUCAGAGGUACAGAAAAUGACAUUUAAACAUACUUUUUUGUCUUCCACAAAUUUCUGCCAAGGAGGCCUUUAGUCAAUAUCAGACUUAGUCAGUUUAUUAUUUCUAAAUAAUAAUAGUUUUUUAUUAUUUAUAGCUUGUGAAAUAAAAGAGAAACUAGUAAAACUUGAACUUUCAGUGUUAAAUGGUACUGUAUAAGAAGUAACAUUUUACUAAGAUAAUAUGCUAAUAAAAUACAGAAUGUUUCAAAACUUCACUUAUUGUACAAUGCUACUGAUGAAAUAUAUAUGCCUCUUUGCAAAUUCAUCAGGAAGUACUGUCCUACUAUAUUUGAAAUGCUUAACCUGUCCCUAUACUCAUCCCAUAAUGAGUCAACAUCCACUAAGGCCAUGAAAUGUGCUUCUAUCUGUGGAGUUUCUGCAUAUAAAACAGCUCGGAACAGCUAGAUACUGUGUGAAUAAGAUUCAUUAAGUAAUUCAAUGUGUCUGAAAUAUGAGAUACAAAGUCCCAUACAAAAUAAUUACAUGUUUCUAAAUGUGAAAGAUGUUUAUAGAAAAAGAAGUGAAAUGUUCUUAUAAAAAAUCGUCACUAAAUUUAUUUUACUCAGAAUCUGUUAUAAAAUCAUAUAGAAGUAAGGUAAAUCUCAAACUCUGCAGUAGUUUAGGUGCAAUCCCAAACAUUAAUAUGCCUUGAUAUCGGUAUUUCUAAAAACCUCUGUAAUAGUAUGUACAUAUAAUGUAAUGGGCAGAUCAUAGCUAGGGUCAUUGAUUAACAGAGUCUCCGUAUAUAAGAGAUUUUUCAUUCACAAACUGAGGCCUGAAAUUAACAAAAUAAGGUCAGCUAGUACGUUACUGUACUUAUAAUUUUAUGCGGUGUUGUAGUAAGUAAUGACUCGACCGCAAAAGAAGAGAUAAUACACAAGUUUAUUCAGGUGAGAAAAUACCUUAACCAUAAAUCAAUAAAAUCGGUACUCAAAGUUUUUCAGGUGAGAAAACACUUUAUUCACAAAUCAAUAAAAUAAAUACACAAGUUUUUUUCAGGUAAGAUAUCACAAAAUAGUAAAAUGGAUACGUAAUUUGUUUUCAUUUAAGAAAAUUUUUAUCCACAAAUCAAUAAACUGGACACACAAGUUUUCUUUCAGGUGAGAAAACACUAUCAACAAAUCAAUAAACUGGAUACGCAAGUUUUUUUGGUGUGAAACUAUUUUAUUCACAACUCAGUAAAAUGGAUGUCACAUGAACACCAUGGACAAAACGUUUAAUAAACAAUACCAAUAACUUUUUAAUUUGUCUAGGUAAGCACAAUAUGAAAACUAUGGCGAAUAUGAUAGUACUGAUCUUGCUUAGAGUUAAAUUACAAUCUCCGAAGUCUGCGUUAGUUCCCAAAAUGCCUUUCUUAUCCAUCUACUCUACCUGUCCAAUAGUACAAUCUUCCCACGUGGAUGUCAGACCAAGCGACCCACAUAGGCCAGCUUAGGAAAUCACCGAUUAUAACAUCCACCUUUAAAGAUGAACGUGCUCAUGACUCGGGGCAUGUGAAAGUUCGUAAUCCAUGAUUCACGCAGUACAAGGCUUGACAGACAGUUUUAGGUACGACCUUGACAAGUACUAAAAAUUUGAAAACUAUCUGAAUAAAGAUAUACAUUUAGAUUUAGUUUGAAUGAUGUAUAUACAUCUAGAUUGUCAGAUAUAAUUUUUUUGUUUAUUGUUUUGAAAAUUUUGCUAGGGAUAUUUGUUUCAAUUAACAAAUGUCUCAUCCCAUUUUAUUUUAUAGCUCUAAUUCCAACAUUAUCUUCCGGAAAAUAUAAAUACUACAA